RNAcentral lists this ribosomal RNA (900 nucleotides) under uncultured Bacteroides sp. RNAcentral describes it as "bacterial SSU rRNA". It matches the Rfam family "Bacterial small subunit ribosomal RNA", at positions 505 to 1408 of the family's 1533-position model. The record is from RNAcentral. Lineage: Bacteria; Pseudomonadati; Bacteroidota; Bacteroidia; Bacteroidales; Bacteroidaceae.
GUCCCAGCAGCCGCGGUAAUACGGAGGAUGCGAGCGUUAUCCGGAUUUAUUGGGUUUAAAGGGUGCGUAGGCUGUUAUAUAAGUCAGUGGUGAAAUAUUCGGGCUCAACCGGGAUACUGCCAUUGAUACUGUAUAGCUGGAAUAUGGUUGCUGUGGGUGGAAUGUGUGGUGUAGCGGUGAAAUGCAUAGAUAUCACACAGAAUAUCGAUUGCGAAGGCAACUCACAAAGCCAUUAUUGACGCUGAUGCACGAAAGUGUGGGGAUCAAACAGGAUUAGAUACCCUGGUAGUCCACACUGUAAACGAUGAUAACUAGCUGUCGGCGAUAGAUAGUCGGUGGCUAAGCGAAAGCGAUAAGUUAUCCACCUGGGGAGUACGACCGCAAGGUUGAAACUCAAAGGAAUUGACGGGGGCCCGCACAAGCGGAGGAACAUGUGGUUUAAUUCGAUGAUACGCGAGGAACCUUACCCGGGCUCGAACGGUGCAGGAAUAUGGUAGAGAUAUCAUAGCUAGCAAUAGUCUGUAUCGAGGUGCUGCAUGGUUGUCGUCAGCUCGUGCCGUGAGGUGUCGGCUUAAGUGCCAUAACGAGCGCAACCCUUGUCGUUAGUUACCAUCAAGUAAAGUUGGGGACUCUAGCGAGACUGCCACCGUAAGGUGUGAGGAAGGGGGGGAUGACGUCAAAUCAGCACGGCCCUUACGUCCGGGGCGACACACGUGUUACAAUGGUAGGUACAGAGGGGCGCUAUCCAGUGAUGGAGUGCGAAUCUCAAAAACCUAUCUCAGUUCGGAUUGGAGUCUGCAACUCGACUCCAUGAAGUUGGAUUCGCUAGUAAUCGCGCAUCAGCCAUGGCGCGGNGAAUACGUUCCCGGGNCUUGUACACACCGCCCGUCAAGCCAUGGA